RNAcentral lists this ribosomal RNA (628 nucleotides) under uncultured organism. Its description in RNAcentral is "bacterial SSU rRNA". It matches the Rfam family "Bacterial small subunit ribosomal RNA", at positions 56 to 726 of the family's 1533-position model. The record is from RNAcentral.
UGCAAGUCGAACGCAACCUUCGGGUUGAGUGGCGGACGGGUGAGUAACGCGUGAGAAUCUGCCUUGGGGUCGGGGACAACCACUGGAAACGGUGGCUAAUACCGGAUAAGCCUUUGGGUAAAAAAUUUAUUGCCCCAAGAGGAGCUCGCGUCUGAUUAGCUAGUUGGUGAGGUAAAAGCUCACCAAGGCAGCGAUCAGUAGCUGGUCUGAGAGGACGAUCAGCCACACUGGGACUGAGACACGGCCCAGACUCCUACGGGAGGCAGCAGUGGGGAAUUUUCCGCAAUGGGCGAAAGCCUGACGGAGCAAGACCGCGUGAGGGAGGAAGGCUCUUGGGUUGUAAACCUCUUUUCUCAGGGAAGAAGCUCUGACGGUACCUGAGGAAUCAGCCUCGGCUAACUCCGUGCCAGCAGCCGCGGUAAUACGGAGGAGGCAAGCGUUAUCCGGAAUUAUUGGGCGUAAAGCGUCCGCAGGUGGCGAUUCAAGUCUGCUGUCAAAGCACGGGGCUUAACUCCGUUAAGGCAGUGGAAACUGAAUAGCUAGAGUGCCGUAGGGGUAGAGGGAAUUCCCGGUGUAACGGUGAAAUGCGUAGAGAUCGGGAAAGAACCAUUCGGUGGCGAAAGCGGGC